GUGGGGAAUUUUGGACAAUGGGCGCAAGCCUGAUCCAGCCAUUCCGCGUGCAGGAUGAAGGCCUUCGGGUUGUAAACUGCUUUUGUACGGAACGAAAAGCCUCUGGUUAAUACCCGGGGGUCAUGACGGUACCGUAAGAAUAAGCACCGGCUAACUACGUGCCAGCAGCCGCGGUAAUACGUAGGGUGCGAGCGUUAAUCGGAAUUACUGGGCGUAAAGCGUGCGCAGGCGGUGAUGUAAGACAGUUGUGAAAUCCCCGGGCUCAACCUGGGAAUUGCGCUUGUGACUGCAGUGCUGGAGUGCGGCAGAGGGGGAUGGAAUUCCGCGUGUAGCAGUGAAAUGCGUAGAUAUGCGGAGGAACACCGAUGGCGAAGGCAAUCCCCUGGGCCUGCACUGACGCUCAUGCACGAAAGCGUGGGGAGCAAACAGGAUUAGAUACCCGGGUAGUCC
This 450-nucleotide ribosomal RNA is filed under the name uncultured bacterium. RNAcentral describes it as "partial 16S ribosomal RNA". It matches the Rfam family "Bacterial small subunit ribosomal RNA", at positions 354 to 796 of the family's 1533-position model. The record is from RNAcentral.